RNAcentral lists this ribosomal RNA (804 nucleotides) under uncultured bacterium. RNAcentral describes it as "bacterial SSU rRNA". It matches the Rfam family "Bacterial small subunit ribosomal RNA", at positions 71 to 874 of the family's 1533-position model. The record is from RNAcentral.
CACAGGGAGCAAUGCCGGGUGGCGACCGGCGCACGGGUGAGUAACGCGUAUGCAACUUGCCUAUCAGAGGGGGAUAACCCGGCGAAAGUCGGACUAAUACCGCAUGAAGCAGGGGCCCCGCAUGGGGAUAUUUGCUAAAGAUUCAUCGCUGAUAGAUAGGCAUGCGUUCCAUUAGGCAGUUGGCGGGGUAACGGCCCACCAAACCGACGAUGGAUAGGGGUUCUGAGAGGAAGGUCCCCCACAUUGGUACUGAGACACGGACCAAACUCCUACGGGAGGCAGCAGUGAGGAAUAUUGGUCAAUGGGCGUAAGCCUGAACCAGCCAAGUCGCGUGAGGGAUGAAGGUUCUAUGGAUCGUAAACCUCUUUUAUAAGGGAAUAAAGUGCGGGACGUGUCCCGUUUUGUAUGUACCUUAUGAAUAAGGAUCGGCUAACUCCGUGCCAGCAGCCGCGGUAAUACGGAGGAUCCGAGCGUUAUCCGGAUUUAUUGGGUUUAAAGGGUGCGUAGGCGGCCUUUUAAGUCAGCGGUGAAAGUCUGUGGCUCAACCAUAGAAUUGCCGUUGAAACUGGGGGGCUUGAGUAUGUUUGAGGCAGGCGGAAUGCGUGGUGUAGCGGUGAAAUGCUUAGAUAUCACGCAGAACCCCGAUUGCGAAGGCAGCCUGCCAAGCCAUGACUGACGCUGAUGCACGAAAGCGUGGGGAUCAAACAGGAUUAGAUACCCUGGUAGUCCACGCAGUAAACGAUGAUCACUAGCUGUUUGCGAUACACAGUAAGCGGCACAGCGAAAGCGUUAAGUGAUCCACCU